RNAcentral lists this long non-coding RNA (354 nucleotides) under Homo sapiens (human). RNAcentral describes it as "LNC_000208". The record is from RNAcentral. Lineage: Eukaryota; Metazoa; Chordata; Mammalia; Primates; Hominidae.
GUCCUUUUCUUUGCAAGAGAUGGAGUAGCAGCAGAUCUCUCGGUCCUGGAUGGCAGACAGAUUCAUUUUCUCAAUCAGCUCCUUCUCAUCCAAUGCUCCCGGAAGGUCUCGCUUGUUACCCAGGACUAAGACCGGGAUGCCCUGCAGCUGAGGUUUGUCCAGUAGGUUGUGGAGCUCGUUCUUAGAGGCCUCAAUCUUCUCCUGGUCAGCAGCAUCCACCAUGUACACGAUGGCGCUCACUCCUCGGCAGUAGCGCUCCCACAUGCUGCGGAAACGCGGCUGUCCCCCAAUGUCCCAGAGCUUGAUAGUCACAUUCCCUUUGGUGAUUUUGCGCAUGUUGAAACCCACGGUGGG